Molecule: ribosomal RNA, 494 nt
Filed under: uncultured eukaryote
Lineage: Eukaryota
Description: partial 18S ribosomal RNA
Source: RNAcentral
CUCNNGAAGAGUCUUGUAUUGUUAUUUUUCGUCACUACCUCGAACUUCGUUCAUUGGGUAAUUUGCGUGCCUGCUGCCUUCCUUGGAUGUGGUAGCCGUUUUUAAGGCUCCCUCUCCGGAAUCGAACCCUGAUUCCCCGUUACCCGUCAAAACCACUGUGAGCGUCUAUAUCACAGUCGACAGUUGAUAGGGCACACCUUCGAAGGAAACGUCGCCUGCACAAGGCAAUGCGAUCAGCCCAAAGUUAUUCCGAGUCACCAAAUAUACAGACGAAUCUGUUUGGUUUUGAUCUAAUAAAAGCAUCUCUCCGUGAGUCGAGAUUUUUCGCAUGUAUUAGCUCAAGAAUUACCUCAGUUAUCCAAGUAACUGCUAACAUUCCAGUAGAUUAGGUGUGAUUUAAUGAGCCAUUCGCGGUUUCACCUUAGUUAGGCUUGUACUUAGACAUGCAUGGCUUAAUCUUUGAGACAAGCAUAUGCUACUGGCAGGAUCAACCA